RNAcentral lists this ribosomal RNA (253 nucleotides) under uncultured bacterium. RNAcentral's name for it is "partial 16S ribosomal RNA". It matches the Rfam family "Bacterial small subunit ribosomal RNA", at positions 524 to 776 of the family's 1533-position model. The record is from RNAcentral.
UACGAAGGGGGCUAGCGUUGCUCGGAAUUACUGGGCGUAAAGCGCACGUAGGCGGAUCCUUAAGUCGGUGGUGAAAUCCUGAAGCUCAACUUCAGAACUGCCUUCGAUACUGGGGACCUUGAGUUCGGGAGAGGUGAGUGGAACUGCGAGCGUAGAGGUGAAAUUCGUAGAUAUUCGCAAGAACACCAGUGGCGAAGGCGGCUCACUGGCCCGAUACUGACGCUGAGGUGCGAAAGCGUGGGGAGCAAACAGG